This 505-nucleotide ribosomal RNA is filed under the name uncultured bacterium. RNAcentral describes it as "partial 16S ribosomal RNA". It matches the Rfam family "Bacterial small subunit ribosomal RNA", at positions 28 to 507 of the family's 1533-position model. The record is from RNAcentral.
GACGAACGCUGGCGGCGUGCCUAAUACAUGCAAGUAGAACGCACAGUUUAUACCGUAGCUUGCUACACCAUAGACUGUGAGUUGCGAACGGGUGAGUAACGCGUAGGUAACCUGCCUGGUAGCGGGGGAUAACUAUUGGAAACGAUAGCUAAUACCGCAUAAUAUUGAUUAUUGCAUGAUAAUUGAUUGAAAGAUGCUAUUGCAUCACUACCAGAUGGACCUGCGUUGUAUUAGCUAGUAGGUGAGGUAACGGCUCACCUAGGCGACGAUACAUAGCCGACCUGAGAGGGUGAGCGGCCACACUGGGACUGAGACACGGCCCAGACUCCUACGGGAGGCAGCAGUAGGGAAUCUUCGGCAAUGGACGAAAGUCUGACCGAGCAACGCCGCGUGAGUGAAGAAGGUUUUCGGAUCGUAAAGCUCUGUUGUAAGAGAAGAACGGGUGUGAGAGUGGAAAGUUCACACUGUGACGGUAUCUUACCAGAAAGGGACGGCUAACUACGUG